GGCUGAUCUGAGCACAGAGGUGUUUACAGCUCAUUAAUCACAGCCAAUUACAGAUUUCUUUGUUUCUUCUCCACUUCCACUGCUCCACUUGACUUGCCUAAA
Unclassified non-coding RNA from Otolemur garnettii (small-eared galago), 102 nucleotides. It matches the Rfam family "Y RNA". From Rfam's summary of the family: Y RNAs are components of the Ro ribonucleoprotein particle (Ro RNP), in association with Ro60 and La proteins. The Y RNAs and Ro60 and La proteins are well conserved, but the function of the Ro RNP is not known. The record is from Ensembl. NCBI's taxonomy places the organism in Eukaryota, Metazoa, Chordata, Mammalia, Primates, Galagidae.